AAACGCCUGGCGGGUGCUUACACAUGCAGUCGAACGAGGUCAUCCGAUCUUCGGAUUGGUGAAGACUAGUGGCGAACGGGUGCGUAACACGUGAGAAACCUGCCCCGGUCUCUGGGAUAACAGUUGGAAACGACUGCUAAUACCGGAUGCCGUCGGACCGUCGCAUGGCGGACCGACGAAAGGGUUACCGGAUCGGGAGGGUCUCGCGGCCUAUCAGCUUGUUGGUGAGGUAACGGCUCACCAAGGCAUCGACGGGUAGCUGGUCUGAGAGGAUGAUCAGCCACACUGGGACUGAGACACGGCCCAGACUCCUACGGGAGGCAGCAGUGGGGAAUAUUGCACAAUGGGCGAAAAGCCUGAUUGCAGAACGCCGCGUGCGGGAUGAAUGCCUAAGGUUGUAAACCGCUUUCAGCAGGGAAGAAAAUGACGGUACCUGUAGAAGAGGUUGCGGCCAACUACGUGCCAGCAGCCGCGGUGACACGUAUGCACCCAGCGUUGUCCGGAUUUAUUGGGCGUAAAGAGCUCGUAAGCGGUCCGAUAGUCGGGUGUGAAAACUCUGGGGUCUAACCAGAGAAGCCACCGAUAUUGGUGUGACUAGAGUGCGGCAGGGACCGGGAAAUCCUAGUGAACCGGGAAUUCCCAUAUUUGGGGACACCGUGCAACGGCCCCCUGGGCCGAAUAGCGCAUAGGAGCAAAGCGGGA
RNAcentral lists this ribosomal RNA (702 nucleotides) under uncultured Actinomycetes bacterium. RNAcentral describes it as "bacterial SSU rRNA". It matches the Rfam family "Bacterial small subunit ribosomal RNA", at positions 31 to 764 of the family's 1533-position model. Lineage: Bacteria; Bacillati; Actinomycetota; Actinomycetes. The record is from RNAcentral.